AGAUGCAAGAAUUUCCAGUUUGGAACCCGAUCCCAUCUGAUCUCGGAAGCUAAGCAGGGUGGGGCCUGGUUAGUACUUGGAUAGGAGACCACCUAGGAAGGCCAGGUGCUGUAGGUG
RNAcentral lists this ribosomal RNA (117 nucleotides) under Pteropus alecto (black flying fox). Lineage: Eukaryota; Metazoa; Chordata; Mammalia; Chiroptera; Pteropodidae. The record is from RNAcentral.